RNA transcript from Camellia sinensis, 2820 nucleotides. It is a transcript of the gene named transcription factor GTE8, with no coding region annotated. The record is from RefSeq and is a predicted model, not a curated record. NCBI's taxonomy places the organism in Eukaryota, Viridiplantae, Streptophyta, Magnoliopsida, Ericales, Theaceae.
CCUUGGAAAUCAACGAUCCAGAUUGCUAGAAAGCCAUAGGUGGAGUGGAGCACUAAUACACGCCGCUUCUCUCUGUUUUCUCUCUCUCUCUCUCGCUGUAUCUCUCUCCUCAAUAGUUCUUCUCUUUCGCCUCCGGAGCUCUAGCUCGCAAAUCCAGAUUUUGUGAAUCAGUCGAUGUUAUUACCUUUUAGGGUUUGGAUCACAAUGUCGCUGUUCAAGUGUGCAGGUCUAGGAAAUUAACUUCCUGCAAUUAAAAUUUGCAGAAGUAAGCAAUUUAUGUUUCAUAUUGGAUAGAAGGGAACAUAAGCAGUCUGAGAAUCAUGCUACGUGUGGAUGAUGUCAACAAAGGAUUGGUUCCGUGGAGGGUAUUUUUUUGAUUUAACUCCCUGAUUAAGACUCGGAUGGCUCAGGGCAUGUUGACACACAGAUACUUCGAAGGAUUCAAGUGGUCCAAGGAGGAAAUGCAUCCAUUUGAAUUUUGCUACAUGCGAUGGUUUUGGUGUCUUUAAAAAGUAUCACCUUCCAAGAGAAAGGAUUUACCGUUUGGAUGGAGAGGUUUGGUGAGAAAAGAAAGAAAAUGGAGAGAAUGAGGUUUCUCAUCACUUGUCUGAAUAAUUAAUGAGGUGAAAAAUGGUGAGAAAGGAAGAGAAAUAGUGAGAAAGAUAAAUCACUCAAAAUUUAAGUUGUUUCUGACCAAAGUAGUGAGAAACCAAAAUUACUCUUUAUAAAAAAUUUAUAAUACCUAAAUUACCCCUCUAAAUACAAAACAAAUAAAAUAAAAAGAUACAUAUAUCCUUUUUUUAAUCAAUGUUCAUCCAAACAAGAAGAUGAGAAAUCACAAUACAUCCAAACAAGAAGACGAGAAACCACAAUAAUUUCUUUUCUUCUCUCAGCUAGGUGAGAAACUAUAAUCAGUUCCUUUCUUUUCUCACCUCACAAUCCAAAACUAAAAGAUUGAGAGCUGAAGUUAAACAGAUUCGCAGAUUCUCCAGAAGAGAGAAGAUGCAAAGUGAUGUUCGUAGUUGUAGCAACACACAAAAUGGGCCUUCGUUAGAGAAAGUAAACCCUGCAGGUGACAGUGGUACUUCAGGUAGGUUUGAGUCUGCAAGUCAGGCAUCAGCACCAAGCACUUUGAAUGCAAUUUUGAUUGAACACUCUGAAGCAUUAUUAAUUGGGUAUUCAGCAGAGAACUUCAAGAAAUCGGAAGGGUUGACUUCUGGGCCAGGGAAGAAAGGCUGCAAGAGGCGUGGCUGGAAUCGUGGUACUUCAGGGAGGUUUGUGUCUGCAAGUUGGGCAUCAAGCACUUUGAGUGCAAUUUCGAUUGAACAGUGCAAGACAUUAUUAAAAAAAUUGAUGCAACAUCAGUAUGGUUGGGUUUUUAACACUCCCGUUGAUGCAGUAAAGUUGAACAUUCCUGAUUAUUUGACUGUUAUAAAGCAUCCAAUGGAUUUGGGGACAAUAAAGAGCAAGAUUGCUUCAAGUGAGUACUCAAGUGCGUUGGAAUUUGUGGCUGAUGUCAGACUAACUUUCUCUAAUGCCAUGACCUACAAUCCACCAGGAAAUGAUUUCCACAUCAUUGCUGAUACUUUGAGUAAAUUUUUUGAAGCAAGAUGGAAAGUUAUUGCGAAUAAUCUUCCGAAGGAUUCCCAGCCAUUACCAGAAAAAUCAGACGUACAUGAAGAAAAGGGGACUAUUAAGCCAAUGCCUCCAUCAAAAAAAAGAAAACUUACUUCACCACAACAUAAAGCUAUGCCUGGCCGUGCAAAGAGAAUAAUGACAUAUGAGGAAAAACGUAAGUUAAGUAGAGACUUUGAGGCUUUGCUGGGGGAGUUGCCAGACAAUAUUUUUGAAUUUGUGAGGGAUCAGAUUUCAAAUGGAUGGGAAGCUAGAGAGGAUGAGAUUGAAGUUUAUAUUGAUGAUCUCAGUGAUAAUACCUUGUUCAUGUUACGGAAGCUUCUAGAUGACUAUUUACGAGAAAUACGAAAGAACCAAGCAAAAGCCGAACCCUGUGAAAUAGAGGUACUAAACAGAUCGUGGCUCAGUGAUUUAUCCAUGCAAUUUUUGUGCAAAGGUUAUUAGCCAUUCUAUUUGGUUGCCACCAAAAUUGCAGGCAUCUUUACUGCAUCUCAAACCAUAUUUCAUAUAUCGCCUUAUAUAUUGUACAUUUGUAUGGAUUUACAAUGUUGAUAUUGAUGUGAAUGAGCCUCCUGUCUCGAGCCAAGUCCAGUAGAGAAAGAAAAAGAUACAGGCUGUUAAAGCAACACAUGUAUCAGUUCAGGCAGCUCCAGUUACAAUUCUGCAAACAAUAAUGAGAAAAUGCAUAGAAGAAGAAAGGGCUGUACCUCAAAGACAUGACUGCUGCAGCCAAAGACACACCAGAGAUGGAGUUGAAGUUUGGAAGAUGGGAGAGCACGAAAUGGACAGAGGAAAAAAUCAUGAUGAAGUAGGUCAGCUUGAUGUUUGAGCAAUCCUUGCACACCACAUCGUGGAAUUUCUUGAGUGACUUCCCUCCAGUGACCAUAUAGAGUAUGUUCACGCUGAUUUCAACAAUAAGCUGUUGGGGCACCACAAUAUAAAGACCGAGCUUUUCACCAAAUGCAUGCUGACCCAGCUCAUGGUAUCUGUCGAAACGUCUUCCAGGUACUAUCUCAUGCAUCUCAACCAUUUGCCAUAAGGUGUAUAAAGUGACAACCCAUGAUAUUACAAGUGCAGAAACACCAGGACCCCUGAAAACCAAAAGAUAUAUAUAGUAUCACUUACCUGUAGAUGUAGAAUUACAAUUUUGUUUCUUGAAAAGUAAAUGAAAAUGGUUAUUUUAUA